This is a non-coding RNA of Caenorhabditis elegans, 587 nucleotides long. Lineage: Eukaryota; Metazoa; Nematoda; Chromadorea; Rhabditida; Rhabditidae. The record is from Ensembl.
GGAUCUUCUCUCUUUUCAUUGAAUGGAGCACUAUGGGAAUGGGAUUGUGUGCGCGUUUUCACGGUUUGCCGGAUUUGUAGAGAGGUUAGUAGGGGGGGAGAGAUUCUAGAGUUUGAUAACAUUUUUUCAACUCGUUUUAGAGCGGAUUUCAGACUUUUUCUUGCUUUUCAAAAGUUGACGGCAGUUUUCUGUAUGCCUCCUGUUGCAUUUUGAAAAGUGGUGCUGGUUGGCGCAGCCGGCAACACUUUUGCCUUUCAAGUUGAGGGCCCGGGGUUCGAAACUUUUUGUGAAAAAUUUCUUUUUCUUCUUUUUUAUAAGGAAAACUCAGUUGAUCUUUCUUUAAUUUGAGAAAAAAAUCUAUGACACUUCAGAUUGUACUGGAAAAACUAGAAAACUUAAACUCUUCAGCAGCUCUUGUCGGUUGUACGUCUUCUGCCAACUUAAGUGGAAAUUUCCAUUGGGCAAGCCAUGGCGCAGUGGCUAACGCUUUUGUUUUUGAAGCACAAGGUCCCGGGUUCGAAAAUUUUUGCUCGAAUUUUCUUUUGCAUAUAUUUUUUGAUGAUAAACUGAUAUGUGCGGAAUUUGAU